UACGGAGGAUGCGAGCGUUAUCCGGAUUUAUUGGGUUUAAAGGGUGCGUAGGCGGCUUUUUAAGUCAGCGGUGAAAUUUUGCAGCUUAACUGUAACAGUGCCGUAGAUACUGUGGAUCUGGAAUGCGGUUGGGGAAGACAGAAUUCCUGGUGUAGCGGUGGAAUGCGCAGAGAUCAGGAGGAAUACCGAAGGCGAAGGCAGUCUUCCAAGCCGUUAUUGACGCUCAACUGCGAAGGUGUGGGUAUCAAACAGGAUUAGAUACCCGUGUA
RNAcentral lists this ribosomal RNA (269 nucleotides) under uncultured prokaryote. RNAcentral's name for it is "partial 16S ribosomal RNA". It matches the Rfam family "Bacterial small subunit ribosomal RNA", at positions 524 to 792 of the family's 1533-position model. The record is from RNAcentral.